CGGCGGAGUUGACGAAGUUAGAGCCGAGCGGCGCGUGCCCGCUUCCCGCGUGUGCCUCAGCUUCUGCUGUCGCGAGCAGAACAGGUUGGCUGAAGUCCGACUGCGCUCCUUGUGCUGCGUUUGCACAAUCUGUCAUAUCAGUGUCCUACUUGUUAAACUCGAGGAGAGCGAAUCUUGUGAAACCUUGAACUUUGCUCCUCUAUUUACUGAACCGCCACAUGCAGUAUAACCUAUGAUUGUUUGGCAAGACACGCAGCCGUUUAAAUGAUUUGUUGAAUUAAGUUGUCCUCCCUCAUCAAUUAAAACAAUGUGUAUCUGUCACAUCAGGUUGUUCUGGUUGGGACUACAUAGUUUCUGAAUGUCAGAAUUUAUUUAUAUAUAUGCAUGCAUGCAAACAAACAGGGUUAAACACCACCCUAACUGACAUUCUUUUCAUGAGACUAAACAGGUGGCAUAGUUUAUCACUUGUAAAUCUUACAUGAUUCCCUUUUCUAUGUAAUAACAUUCAUAAUUGACCAGUCAAAAAGUGUUAGAACCAUAAUUCUUAAAGACAAGAACAAAGAAACCUUUAAGAAUUUGGUAAUGUGGCUCCCAGUCACCAAUCAUGAUCCAGCACUAAGGCACCCCAUCCGAUUUGAGAUGAUUUCAAUGCCCCUGUACCACCACCCACUCAUAUCAUAAAAACUCAGCAGAAGUGCAUACAAGGGUGUAAAGUGGCCACAAAAGGGGUGUCUUUGGACUUUGAGCACCUUUCUGAAAGGACACAUGGAUCUUGUAAGUCAGCAAGACCACAAGUUGACAUUAAGUGUGCCAUUUGGGAGAGGGCCUUCAUUUUACAUCCUUCAUUCAGUAUGUUUUGAAGGAUGCAUCGAGUGUAUCUUUUGCGCACCACUCACAGUCCUUUGCAUCCAUGUUCCUAAUGUACAACAAUCUUAAUGUAA
Carassius gibelio (silver crucian carp) is the source of this 941-nucleotide long non-coding RNA. RefSeq lists it as uncharacterized. The transcript has 2 exons. Lineage: Eukaryota; Metazoa; Chordata; Actinopteri; Cypriniformes; Cyprinidae. The record is from RefSeq and is a predicted model, not a curated record.